GAUGAACGCUGGCGGCGUGCCUAAUACAUGCAAGUCGAACGCUUUGUGGUUCAACUGAUAUGAAGAGCUUGCUCGGAUUUGACGAUGGACAUUGCAAAGAGUGGCGAACGGGUGAGUAACACGUGGGAAACCUACCUCUUAGCAGGGGAUAACAUUUGGAAACAAAUGCUAAUACCGUAUAACAAUGACAACCGCAUGGUUGUUAUUUGAAAGAUGGUUCUGCUAUCACUAAGAGAUGGUCCCGCGGUGCAUUAGUUAGUUGGUGAGGUAAUGGCUCACCAAGACGAUGAUGCAUAGCCGAGUUGAGAGACUGAUCGGCCACAAUGGGACUGAGACACGGCCCAUACUCCUACGGGAGGCAGCAGUAGGGAAUCUUCCACAAUGGGCGAAAGCCUGAUGGAGCAACGCCGCGUGUGUGAUGAAGGGUUUCGGCUCGUAAAACACUGUUGUAAGAGAAGAAUGACAUUGAGAGUAACUGUUCAAUGUGUGACGGUAUCUUACCAGAAAGGAACGGCUAAAUACGUGCCAGCAGCCGCGGUAAUACGUAUGUUCCAAGCGUUAUCCGGAUUUAUUGGGCGUAAAGCGAGCGCAGACGGUUAUUUAAGUCUGAAGUGAAAGCCCUCAGCUCAACUGAGGAAUUGCUUUGGAAACUGGAUGACUUGAGUGCAGUAGAGGAAAGUGGAACUCCAUGUGUAGCGGUGAAAUGCGUAGAUAUAUGGAAGAACACCAGUGGCGAAGGCGGCUUUCUGGACUGUAACUGACGUUGAGGCUCGAAAGUGUGGGUAGCAAACAGGAUUAGAUACCCCUGGUAGUCCACACCGUAAACGAUGAGUGCUAGGUGUUUGGGGGUUUCCGCCCAUAAGUGCCGGAGCUAACGCAUUAAGCACUCCGCCUGGGGAGUACGACCGCAAGGUUGAAACUCAAAGGAAUUGACGGGGACCCGCACAAGCGGUGGAGCAUGUGGUUUAAUUCGAAGCAACGCGAAGAACCUUACCAGGUCUUGACAUCCCUUGACAACUCCAGAGAUGGAGCGUUCCCUUCGGGGACAAGGUGACAGGUGGUGCAUGGUUGUCGUCAGCUCGUGUCGUGAGAUGUUGGGUUAAGUCCCGCAACGAGCGCAACCCUUAUUACUAGUUGCCAGCAUUCAGUUGGGCACUCUAGUGAGACUGCCGGUGACAAACCGGAGGAAGGUGGGGAUGACGUCAAAUCAUCAUGCCCCUUAUGACCUGGGCUACACACGUGCUACAAUGGCGUAUACAACGAGUUGCCAACCCGCGAGGGUGAGCUAAUCUCUUAAAGUACGUCUCAGUUCGGAUUGUAGGCUGCAACUCGCCUACAUGAAGUCGGAAUCGCUAGUAAUCGCGGAUCAGCACGCCGCGGUGAAUACGUUCCCGGGUCUUGUACACACCGCC
RNAcentral lists this ribosomal RNA (1412 nucleotides) under uncultured bacterium. Its description in RNAcentral is "bacterial SSU rRNA". It matches the Rfam family "Bacterial small subunit ribosomal RNA", at positions 28 to 1394 of the family's 1533-position model. The record is from RNAcentral.